Non-coding RNA from Lactuca sativa (garden lettuce), 2017 nucleotides. The record is from RefSeq and is a predicted model, not a curated record. NCBI's taxonomy places the organism in Eukaryota, Viridiplantae, Streptophyta, Magnoliopsida, Asterales, Asteraceae.
AUUUUAUUUUAUUUUUUAAUGCCGUUUUCGUUUACCUAUAGAGACGACAUGUCGUCUCUAUAGGGUUUUACCGUAACAAAAACCCUUUCAGUCUUCAUUUUCCAGUCCGCUGCCCAGACAUUUUCCUCUCAAUUGCUUCGCCGAUCCCAGUCGGCUGCCCAACAAAGGUUUUCUCCCCCUUUCUCUUUUGGAUUUCGACUCUUUGGAUGUCCGGUUUUUUCUUCUAUACCAGGAACUUGUAAUCUCUAUUCCUUUCCCAGGUUCUACUCAUCUGUAAUCUCAAUCCCCAUCAUCAAUCGUCUUCUUCUUCAAAUCGGUACUACACUUCUGCUAGGCUUGCUCGAUUCUUCACAUCUCUUCCUUCCGACACAUCCAUGGCUUCUGACAAGUCAACACCGCCGCUUACUAUCGACUCCCUCAACCCAAAGGUCUUGAAAUGUGAGUAUGUUGUACGUGGUGAAAUUGUCUCUCUAGCUCAGGUAAUGUAAUGAACUGGAUUCACUAAAAAACCUUAUUAAAUAAGCAUGUCAGGGAUGUAUAUAUCGGGGAAAUAAUUAAUAAUGAGUAUAUUUAUAGAAAACUUUCCAUCUUUUUAAUCAAUAUAUGCAUUCAAGUAUACUAAUUUGCAUAUAUAAAACUUACAAUGCUGAUUUCAUCGAACGAGCAUGGCAGAUUCUUGAUCAAACUCCUGGUAGAGCUACUGGUGCAUAUAGACAUAUAGUCACAGGGGUAAAACAGGAAGUGCAGUUUAAGGGUUUAAGGAAAUGCACUGUAUCUUUUUUGAAAACGUUUUGGAUACAAGAAAGAUAAUAGAGCAAUGCAUAAUGAUUUUUCAGGUUCCUUAUUAUCUUGAUUAAGCAACAUGGUAGGGAGUUGAGGUCUUUGAGCUCAACUGCUAGACAAAAGGGUAUUACUCUGAGAGCCCUUUUUUUCAUUAAUCCAGGAAACCCAAAUGGCCAGGUUCUUGCUGAAGAGAACAACGAGACAUUGUUGAGUUCUGCAAGAAAGAAGGUCAGGUUCUUCUAGUAGCUGAGGUUUAUCAGGAAAACAUUUAUGUCCCUGAAAAGCAGUUUUGCUCUUUUAAGAAAGUUGCUCGUUCAAUUGGAUAUGGUGACAAGGAUAUUCCCUGGGUUUAUUUUCAGUCAGUGUCUAAAGGUAUUGUCUCUUUGUGAAUAUGAAAUAGUAUUGAUGAUAUGAAGAGAAGGGUGCAAAGGUCAGUUAGUUAAUUCAAUUGUUAAUUUGUUUGCAAUUCUUAGUUUCUUGAUAAUUCUUAAUUUCUUUUUCCUUCACAUAUUGAAACUACAGACAUUGCUGACUUGUUAAAUUCCACUUGUUGCUGUUUUAAGAUCAAGUUUUUUUUUUUUAAUAUAUUUAGUUUAUAUCUUGAACUCCUAUUGCUUUUAUAAGUUUGUUUAAAUGGCAUAUGUAUAAAAUAAAGAAAUUUAAUAUUCAAAAAACCGGGUACCCGGAACCGGAACCGGUCUUGGCGGUUCCGGGAGCGGUUCCAAAUUUCUAGGAACCGCUGUAAGCGGUUCUGGUUCCAAAACCAAUAAUUUCAGAACUGUCGGUUCUGGGAGUGGUUCCGGUUCCAGCUAAAAUAGGCGGGUAUCCGGUUAUGGUCAUCCCUAGUCAAUACCAUGUUUCAGUUGUUCUUUGGAAUGGAAUCUUGCUGGUCUUCCGGAUGAUGAAGCAGCAAAAUACUUUGAGAACAAGAUCCGAAGUAAUCAUAAUAAUCGGCUAAGAAGGACUUGCAGAAGGAAGCCAUGUUCCUAAGUGUCAGCCUUUUGGACAAUUAGCAAUAAUAAAUGCAAAUGGGUUAAAAAAAAGCAACCCUUUGGAGGAUUUAGUCAGCAUCCCUUUGGUCACUUUUAUUUCUGUAUGAAUUUUGUAGUUCAUAAUAACACUACAAUAGUCAAAUGUUGUAAUUCAACUGAAGAAUUUCUUUUAAUUGUAAAAUCAAAUUAAAUUAAUGGUAUGUUAUGAAUGAUAUGUUUAUUAAGUGUUUUUUGGAUUUUAA